This 254-nucleotide ribosomal RNA is filed under the name uncultured bacterium. RNAcentral describes it as "partial 16S ribosomal RNA". It matches the Rfam family "Bacterial small subunit ribosomal RNA", at positions 524 to 776 of the family's 1533-position model. The record is from RNAcentral.
CACGUAGGGGGCAAGCGUUGUCCGGAUUUAUUGGGCGUAAAGAGCUCGUAGGCGGUUCGGUAAGUCGGGUGUGAGACCUCCAGGCUCAACCUGGAGACGCCACCCGAUACUGCUGUGACUAGAGUCCGGUAGGGGAGCGUGGAAUUCCUGGUGUAGCGGUGAAAUGCGCAGAUAUCAGGAGGAACACCAGCGGCGAAGGCGGCGCUCUGGGCCGGAACUGACGCUGAGGCGCGAAAGCCAGGGGAGCAAACGGG